This is a long non-coding RNA of Gallus gallus (chicken), 1001 nucleotides long. NCBI's taxonomy places the organism in Eukaryota, Metazoa, Chordata, Aves, Galliformes, Phasianidae. The record is from Ensembl.
CACGGUUUGCUUAGGACAUAUCAGAAGCGUCUUCCUCGAGUUCAGAUUUUUUCUGCUCAAGGGGCUGCCCGCUGCAGAGCCCUACGGAGCGAUACCAGCAGCUUCAGUGGGUUUUUUUUUGGCAGCAGCCCUCUGCUACUUCUCCCAGGGCAGCAAAAGAAGUUGGGGGCAAAGUGGAAAAGGUCUGCUUCCACCCCAGCCCCCGUUUAUGUCAAAAAUCUGCAAGGGAAAAGCUAGAGCGAUGAGGAAAAUGCUCAUGUUCCCUCCUCAUUAACAUUAAAGGUCUGGAUGUAAACCAGAUGUAAAUGGGCUCUGCUGCAGAGGGUAUUUUCUGCCACGUUUUGGGGCCAGAUCUGACCGCCCCCAGUUCCUGCUGAAAGCAACGUGGGCAUUCAGCUCCGCAGCCAACCGCUGUGCAGCACGAGAGCCAGGGACCACAGCGAGGAGCCUCAAAAAUGGGAACUGCCAGCAAAGGCCACGGCCCUGAGCUGCACUCCCCCCGAAGAGGAGGGCUGAAGAGCAAGCGAGUGGGAAGGUUCAGAGCAGAACCAAAGCACCCCAGCAUCCAAAAUGCAAUGCACAAAGCAACACAGGUUGCUGCCAGGCCCAUAAGGCACCCAGCACCUGAGAAAGCAUCUCUAGGAGGUGAGUGGGGUGCGAGACAAAGUCGGGGAUGUCCCCUGGAGAAUGGGUGGGAGAUGGAGGUGAAGCUGAGCUGGGGCGUUUGGGUGCUCUGCAGCCAGUUCAAAGGCUCUGCUGUAGGGCUGUGCGUCACUUGCAGAGAGAGAGAAUAUUGUUUUUGGAGAAGGGAGGAGGAGGGGGAAGCCAGGAGUGGGGAAGGAGGAGGAAAAAUUUGGUGAAGGAGGAGGGGCGGUUCGCAUGGCUCCUGAGCACCUGCAUAGUGCGUGGCAGGAAGGAGGCAGGGGGACCCUGCCCUGCAGACAGGCUGCUUUUGUUGCAUCCCAAACGGGCCUCAAUUAAGUCUGACAGAAAGAGGGCAG